RNAcentral lists this ribosomal RNA (288 nucleotides) under Triticum aestivum (bread wheat). RNAcentral describes it as "partial small subunit ribosomal RNA". The record is from RNAcentral. Lineage: Eukaryota; Viridiplantae; Streptophyta; Magnoliopsida; Poales; Poaceae.
AUGAAGCAUUUUUCAUCGUGGCAGAAACGAAAGGGGUGCCACGGCAAUGACAACGGGAAUGAUUCCACGGCAACAUUCCAGUUCCGUGAUGUGCAAAGGCCAGAACGAUUGGCGGCUGGGUUGGCUCCUCAAGGCCAUGGAGAUGGCAGGCAGCAGGAGGGUGCUAGCGGAGGCAGAGCCACGACAAGGAGGUCCUGCUCCGGCAGCUGCAAGUGGUGGACGGACGCAGGCAGCGACAAGGCUUUGAGCGUGAGGGAGAAGGAGCUGGCUCGUGGGAAGGAGAAGUAG